GGAGGAGGAGGAGUCAAUAGACGAAGAAAAAAUAUCAACACAAGGAUCGACAUCCUACAAGGGAAAAAGGCCACUAUUCAUUGAUGACAGUCGGAAAGCUUGGAUUAGGGUUUCAGGAGGCAAGACGAAAGGACGUAUUCUCGGAAUGAGACCGGGGGAUGAUUCAUUGAUGCUGAAGAAAUACAAGACCAAAAUAAAUCACCAAGAAAAGAAGAAAGAGAAAAGAAGAAAAUGGAAGAAUUCGAUACUCGUGUUCAAGAAACCUUUAACGCGGUCGUCAACCAGAGACUUGAGACGGUUAACCAACAAAUGGAGAUCUUGCUAAAACAACAUACAGACUUAAGCAAAAUCGUUAUUCUUGAAGUAAGUUAUUCAAUACUUACUAAAAUUCUUAGUAUAAACAUUAACUUAAUCAAUCAAAAUUAUUUUGUUGUUUUUUAAGAGGGAAACACAAGCACGAGCAUGGGCCAACCGAUCGUUCCAAGUAAGGAUCCUCCGAAUCCUCCUUUAGAUCUUGAUGCUUUAUUCAAAAAAAAAAGUUGAAUUGUACUUCGAAGAAUUUGUUUAAUUUGUAAGUUGGAAUAAAUGUUUUGCGAAUGUAUAUUUGAAUGAAUUGUAUGUAAAUUUGAAUGAAAAUAUGAAUGAUCGUAUGAAUUAUGAAUUGCUUGUGAAUGAUCGUAUGAAUUAUGAAUUGCUUUUGAAUGAAUGUUUAUUUUCAGGUACAAGAAUG
RNAcentral lists this long non-coding RNA (730 nucleotides) under Zostera marina. RNAcentral describes it as "long non-coding RNA (ZMAR_LNC004535)". The record is from RNAcentral. Lineage: Eukaryota; Viridiplantae; Streptophyta; Magnoliopsida; Alismatales; Zosteraceae.